Molecule: ribosomal RNA, 318 nt
Filed under: Triticum aestivum (bread wheat)
Lineage: Eukaryota; Viridiplantae; Streptophyta; Magnoliopsida; Poales; Poaceae
Description: partial small subunit ribosomal RNA
Source: RNAcentral
AUGCUACACCAAGAACAAUAUCACACUGGCUCGGAGGAGAGAGGGGUCGACACCAACGGGGCAUAUGCUGUCACCAUGCACCUACGGGCACCGGCACGGCACAUCCGGUACACCAUCUUCGAAGAAGGACACUACCUCCUUGCCUGGAUCGAAGGCGCCGCACCGUCGCAAGAUGAGAUGGACGCCGCCGGAAGAUGGCCACAUAGAGAAGGUCAGCGCAUCCCCAACGAGACCCAGAGGCUCUCCUUGAGGAGAACAUCGCCGCUGCACACAUCCAACACCGGAGGGGGAAGUUUCACGUCAGAUGCAUAUAUCUAA